Molecule: non-coding RNA, 202 nt
Organism: Cinara cedri
Lineage: Eukaryota; Metazoa; Arthropoda; Insecta; Hemiptera; Aphididae
Source: the annotation of a GenBank genome assembly
AAUGGCGUCGAAAAUCAUUAAAUGACCUCUUUAAAGUACAAUUUACACAAUUUGAGCUUUCAAAAAAGUUGCUACACUUAUACAUCGGAGUGAGUUUACUAAGAAAAAACGUGUCUAAAGUAUAGUACAAAGAAGAAGAAAUAAACAGCAUUGUAAAACCAAUACCUCCCACGUCACGCUAUAAUUGUGUCACUUUCGGAGG